This 448-nucleotide ribosomal RNA is filed under the name uncultured bacterium. RNAcentral describes it as "SSU rRNA". It matches the Rfam family "Bacterial small subunit ribosomal RNA", at positions 26 to 518 of the family's 1533-position model. The record is from RNAcentral.
AGAGCGAACGCUGGCGGCAGGCCUAACACAUGCAAGUCGAGCGCCCGUAGCAAUACGGGAGCGGCAGACGGGAUAGUAACACGUGGGAACGCGCCCUUCGGUUCGGAAUAACUCAGGGAAACUUGAGCUAAUACCGGAUACGCCCUUACGGGGAAAGAUUUAUUGCCGAAGGAACGGCCCGCGUCCGAUUAGCUAGUUGGUGAGGUAAUGGCUCACCAAGGCGACGAUCGGUAGCUGGUCUGAGAGGAUGACCAGCAUCACUGGGACUGAGACACGGCCCAGACUCCUACGGGAGGCAGCAGUGGGGAAUAUUGGACAAUGGGCGCAAGCCUGAUCCAGCCAUGCCGCGUGGAUGAUGAAGGCCUUAGGGUUGUAAAGUCCUUUUAACGGGGAAGAUAAUGACGGUACCCGUAGAAUAAGCCCCGGCUAACUUCGUGCCAGUAGCCGC